GGGCCAAAAUUGUUUAGAAGAUUAAAUGUAAUCUGUCAAAUAUAUUUAUAUUUAUUGAAUAUUAUAUUAAUAGGCUAUUAGUAUUUUUAUUUAAGGACGCAUACCUGAAUUAAUCGUGCGUAAUGGCGUAAAACAGGUAAUAAUAUUUUAGUUAAACAGGCGAGCAUUGAGGAGGAACCACGACAAAAGCAACAUUUUAUCAACGGGCUAUUUGAACGAUCCAAAACCAUUAAAUUACAAAUGUCUGUUUACAACUCAGUGACCGUAGUAGUAGGUAAUUUAUUCAAUCUCGGUGGAUUUGUGGGGACUGGGGAUAAUUGAAGUUUCCAAUUAAUGAAAAGACGCUUAAAUGACAACGAAAACCCUUUGCGCGAGACCGAAUCGACAAGCACCAGACAGGUGAAGCCCGGUCGCUGUGUCCUGCUCAAGGGGACCUACAUGUGUGCCGAGUACUGUUACAAAGAUGGCCAGUGCCCCGAGGAACAGAAGUGUUUCCGGAUAUGUUGAUUCUACGCCUGCAGUGAGCCAUUGAAGCUUUAUUGGAAAUUCUUAUUAGUUAUAAGAAAUAACUAGAAAAUUCAAAUUAUUACAUGUACAAUUAUGUCUAUGAAAACUGAUGACUUUAUGCAAUAAUAAAUAUGAAAAAUAAUCAUAGCUUUUAUGGAAACUGGACAAACUUCAUGGACGUUCUGUGAAUUGACAAACUCACGUGGAUUGCUGAAUUUGAAUAAAACCAGAUUUUGAAC
Molecule: long non-coding RNA, 746 nt
Filed under: Salmo salar (Atlantic salmon)
Lineage: Eukaryota; Metazoa; Chordata; Actinopteri; Salmoniformes; Salmonidae
Description: lncRNA (ENSSSAG00000111510.1)
Source: RNAcentral